UUGUUUAUUAUUUAAUUGUCUCAAAUUGAGACAAUAGAAGAAAACACUUUUCUAACACUUAUUUUCCCUCUUUUAAUUUCUUCUAUCACUGAACUCAGCUAUCUCUGCUCCUGCGACGGGAGCGGCUUCAUACUCGGCAUGCAUUAUCAAUCGCGGGAAGGAAUAGCAUGGCUUUUAUUUUACCUCCAAACUCCGCCCAUAUUUUUCCAUCGGCUUCAUUAACAGGACACAAUUCGUGUAGGGGUUUUCUAGUGGAUGGCAAGGGCAUAACUUCAAUCUCCAUUUCUGCCCUUUGUACCAAGCAUAUUCUCAAGAUCUGGUUUUCCAGGGGUUUAGGGAUCUUGAGCAGGUUUUUAUUUCCGUACAUCAGCAUCGGUGCCAUAGCCCCAGGGUCGAAUCGAGGCUGUUGGAAGAAGUUCACACAAGAUGAUUAAGCUGCAAUGCAAUCAACUGCAAAGGGAAAGGCAAGCUUACUUUCCAAGCAUUCUUCAAAAUUUAGGGGUGACUGGAAGAGAAGAUUCUUUGUUCUCGAUGGCUGUGGAAUGUUGUAUUAUUACCGCAAACAAGACUGGGGCAAGAAAAUGGUCUCAAGACAUUAAUGCUUUCAGGCUCUUUCUCAAAGAGGCCUAAGGCAUAAUCUAAGCCUAUUUUUGUCCUGAAAACCAAAAAUAGGGCCUGUGAUGACUAAAUAUACCAUUGCUUUGUAGAAUUUGGGACAUAUAAAGAACUUCUUCGCUCCCAGAUAUAUUGGAAAGCAUCAAUGAUUAUAUCGAUGAUGCUGAAAUGAUGGAUAAAAUGACUACCAAGAGCUGAUGUGAAUUGAAACACUGGCCUGUAUGAUUUUGAUUUGUUUGCAAUUAUUUUUCAGGCUUUCUUUAUUGAAUAAUAUGCUAUAAAUUACUUCCAAGAUUGGAAAGAGUUGGUUUUAGAAUCCAUUCUAAGCUUGAUUAAAUUUAGUUAGAAAGAGGGUAGUUUGAAUUUGUCGAUUGAUGACUUACACUUGUUUUGCAUUGAACAAGUUCACACUGAGGAUCAGAAUCAGACCAUGUAGGUACCAAUUCACAAACAUAAAUGUAUCGUUCAAAAUUUCGGUACAUUCUCUUUGUGUUGCUAGAGCUAGAUAGACAUUGUAAGGUUUUAUUUAAGAAACACAGUUGUUUUAUUUUCAAGACAACGAAAAGUUGUUCAAUACAAAAACACAAAAUGGCUGGCAAUGGUCACAUUCUCAACCAUUAUUUAGACUUAAAACCCACUGCUAAACCAAAGGGUGUUUUGAAACCCAAGAUUCUGAAGGAUAAAAUUAAAACCAAAGGGUGUUUUGAGACCCAAGAUUUUGAAGGAUAAAAUUCUUCUUAAAGGGUGCUAGCUCAAUGGAAGAGUACCUGCUUUACAAGCAGGAGGAUGGUGGUUCAAUUCCAUCGUGCCCUAACAUAAUUAAUUAUAUUGUAGUUUAUAUUUAACAAUAUU
Cryptomeria japonica (Japanese cedar) is the source of this 1467-nucleotide long non-coding RNA. RefSeq lists it as uncharacterized. The transcript is spliced from 6 exons. NCBI's taxonomy places the organism in Eukaryota, Viridiplantae, Streptophyta, Pinopsida, Cupressales, Cupressaceae. The record is from RefSeq and is a predicted model, not a curated record.